RNAcentral lists this ribosomal RNA (616 nucleotides) under uncultured bacterium. RNAcentral describes it as "bacterial SSU rRNA". The stretch from base 1 to 520 matches the Rfam family "Bacterial small subunit ribosomal RNA", at positions 338 to 873 of the family's 1533-position model. The record is from RNAcentral.
CCUACGGGAGGCAGCAGUGGGGAAUAUUGGACAAUGGGGGAAACCCUGAUCCAGCAAUGCCGCGUGAGUGAUGAAGGCCUUAGGGUCGUAAAGCUCUUUUACCAGGGAUGAUAAUGACAGUACCUGGAGAAUAAGCUCCGGCUAACUCCGUGCCAGCAGCCGCGGUAAUACGGAGGGAGCUAGCGUUGUUCGGAAUUACUGGGCGUAAAGCGUGCGUAGGCGGUUAUUCAAGUCAGAGGUGAAAGCCCGGGGCUCAACCCCGGAACGGCCUUUGAAACUAGAUAACUAGAAUCUUGGAGAGGUCAGUGGAAUUCCGAGUGUAGAGGUGAAAUUCGUAGAUAUUCGGAAGAACACCAGUGGCGAAGGCGACUGACUGGACAAGUAUUGACGCUGAGGUACGAAAGCGUGGGGAGCAAACAGGAUUAGAUACCCUGGUAGUCCACGCCGUAAACGAUGAUAACUAGCUGUCCGGACACUUGGUGUUUGGGUGGCGCGAGCUACGACAUUAAGUUAUUCCGUCCGUCGGGGUAGGUACGGUCGGCGAAGAAUUAAAACUUAACAAAGGAAGUUAGUACGGCGUGAGACGUGCCGAACGGACGACGACGAGGGAGGUAGG